Molecule: ribosomal RNA, 460 nt
Filed under: uncultured bacterium
Lineage: Bacteria
Description: partial 16S ribosomal RNA
Rfam family: Bacterial small subunit ribosomal RNA
Source: RNAcentral
CCUACGGGCGGCAGCAGUGAGGAAUAUUGGUCAAUGGGCGCUAGCCUGAACCAGCCAAGUAGCGUGAAGGAUGACUGCCCUAUGGGUUGUAAACUUCUUUUAUCUGGGAAUAAAGUGCAGUAUGUAUACUGCUUUGCAUGUACCUUAUGAUUAAGGAUCGGCUAACUCCGUCCCAGCAGCCGGGGUAAUACGGAGGAUUCGAGCGUUUUCCGGAUUUAUUGGGUUUAAGGGGAGCGUAGGCGGGUGGUUAAUUCAGUGGUGAAAGUUUGCGGCUCAACCGUAGAAUUGCAGUUGAUACUGGCAUCCUUGAGUACAGUAGAGGUAGGCGGAAUUCGUGGUGUAGCGGUGAAAUGCUUAGAUAUCACGCAGAACUCCGAUUGCGAAGGCAGCCUGCUGGACUGUAACUGACGCUGAUGCUCGAAAGUGUGGGUAUCAAACAGGAUUAGAUACCCGGGUAGUC